Molecule: ribosomal RNA, 228 nt
Filed under: Triticum aestivum (bread wheat)
Lineage: Eukaryota; Viridiplantae; Streptophyta; Magnoliopsida; Poales; Poaceae
Description: partial small subunit ribosomal RNA
Source: RNAcentral
AUGGGAGAUCUUAAUGAUAUACUUUAUGAUGUCGAUAAAAGUUCUCCCUUUGUGAAUUACUCUCGCUUGCAUGCUUUUCGUUAUAUUGUGAAACAAUGUGGUCUGAUUGAUCUGGGAUAUAGUGGCCCUGCUUAUACUUGGACAAACAAAAGGUAUUCUUCCAACCCAACCAUGGAAAGACUUGAUAGAUGUCUAGUUAAUGCUGAAUGUGUUGGAAAUAUGCCCUAG